This 429-nucleotide ribosomal RNA is filed under the name Chloroflexota bacterium. Its description in RNAcentral is "Chloroflexi bacterium partial 16S ribosomal RNA". It matches the Rfam family "Bacterial small subunit ribosomal RNA", at positions 355 to 776 of the family's 1533-position model. Lineage: Bacteria; Bacillati; Chloroflexota. The record is from RNAcentral.
UGGGGAAUAUUGCACAAUGGGCGCAAGCCUGAUGCAGCCAUGCCGCGUGUGUGAAGAAGGCCUUCGGGUUGUAAAGCACUUUCAGCGGGGAGGAAGGCGAUAAGGUUAAUAACCUCAUCGAUUGACGUUACCCGCAGAAGAAGCACCGGCUAACUCCGUGCCAGCAGCCGCGGUAAUACGGAGGGUGCAAGCGUUAAUCGGAAUUACUGGGCGUAACGCGCACGCAGGCGGUCUGUCAAGUCGGAUGUGAAAUCCCCGGGCUCAACCUGGGAACUGCAUUCGAAACUGGCAGGCUAGAGUCUUGUAGAGGGGGGUAGAAUUCCAGGUGUAGCGGUGAAAUGCGUAGAGAUCUGGAGGAAUACCGGUGGCGAAGGCGGCCCCCUGGACAAAGACUGACGCUCAGGUGCGAAAGCGUGGGGAGCAAACAGG